Acanthochromis polyacanthus (spiny chromis) is the source of this 3413-nucleotide RNA transcript. It is a transcript of the gene named translocase of inner mitochondrial membrane domain containing 1, with no coding region annotated. The record is from RefSeq and is a predicted model, not a curated record. The transcript is spliced from 9 exons. NCBI's taxonomy places the organism in Eukaryota, Metazoa, Chordata, Actinopteri, Pomacentridae.
CCUGUCUGAGGUGAAAGGUCGAGCCACUGGUAGAGACUUGUUAAAAAAAAAAGUCAGUGGUGAGAAAACGCAAAACAGAAGGACAAAUGUCAAAAACAGAAGUGCAGACAUGACUUAGUAUUGACUGGGACAUCGCUGCUUCCUAAAACAAACGGUUCAUUGUUGAGGAAUUUCCUGCCGGCUGCUGCCCAACGCCAGCUGAAGCGUGAUGCAGCCAGAGCAGAACAGAACAAGCUUUGCCCUGCAGAGUCGACAGGCAGAUUCAGCCCCCCGGGGCAUCCUGAGCACUGGCCUGCUGCGGGGUCUCACCCAGAGCAUCAGGCCUCCUUUCUUCUGCUUCCUGCUCCCCAGGGUCCAUGCAGCUGAUGUGGCUGCUGCCCAGCCUGCACAGAUGCUCUCCUCCUCCUCCACCAGCCCUGCUCCUGUACCCGCUCCGUCUCCCAGCAGCCUGCCAAGCAACAUUGGCAAGCCAGAAUUCCCAGACACGGGAUGGGAACGCAUCAAGGACCUCUUUGACAGAGACACAACGCGGAAAUACCCAGAGGAGUUGGUCAGUGUGAUAAACAGCGGUGUUCUUGGUGCCCUUGUAGGCCUUUUCUAUGGGGGCCUGCCAGCGGCUCGUCACGCCAGGCAGAGGUAUAUCCAAAUCAGCCAGGGAGAAAUGUACACGAAUCGUGUGGAAGCGGUGCGCUCAGCACAUAACGCAGCCAUCCGGGGUUUUGUGAGAUAUGGAUGGAGGUGGAGCUGGAGAGUUGCUGUCAUCGUCACCUUGUUCAAUUCUGUCAGCACAGGACUGUCUGUGUACCGAGACAAAGACGCCGUCAGCAACUAUGUUGUUGCUGGAGCUGUCACUGUCGGCCUGUACAGACUGAACCUGGGACUGAGAGGGCUGGUGGCAGGGACCAUCAUCGGAGCAGUCCUGGGGAUUCCUGUUGGUGGUUUGGUCAUCGGCUUGCAGUCUCUGACUGGAGAAACUGUCCGAGAAAGGAGGAGGAGAGAACACAGAGAACUCUAUGAACUCAAGCUCGCAGAAUGGACGGCCCGUCUGCAGCUGACAGAUGAGUUGAUUGAUAAUCUGAAUGUUAGCUCUCAGGCAGAGGAAACCAAUAAGGACAUGCAGAGGAUCCAGGAGCUGCUCAGUUUACCACAGAAUGAGGACGUGAGCAAGAACUGAAACAGCAGUUUAGAGAGGCUGCCGUACUGCCUGAUAUCUGUUGGGCGUUGAAGGUGAGACUUCAUGGAGAUGUGAGGAUAAAUCAAUCCUGUCUUUCCUGGGACUCUACACAUCUUCUGAAUGGAAACUGAUUCACAUGAGGAUUUCAAGACACUGCUGAACAUCACCUACUAGAGUCACUUUAGCCAGCCGCUCAUGAAGAUGUGAAAUGAGCUGCAGGAAUGUGACAUGUCUUCCAAGUGUCGUUUCCUAUAAGCAACUAGGUCAAACAUAGCCUUGGCCCCUGGUGUAAACAAGAUGUGACACAGCAACAGCUGGGGCCCAAGAUGCAGCUGUGGCUGCUGAUGUGCAGAUGGACAGUCAAUAGAUUGACCAGUUUGUGUUCAGGAGUGCCAGGAUUCCUCUGAGAUGAUAACUUCAGGUAACAUCACACACUCCAAAGCCGUUACAGAAACUAUUUUUGAUAAACCGCUACACGUUUUACAUUUCUGUGCUACCCCAGGCUGUCACUGAAAGUCUGCUAUAGAGUCUGAUUUUGCCUUUAACUUUUUGUGGCUGUGUCCCAGCAUUUUCGAGUUAUGAAAAUAGAUUUACGUUCUGGGCUAUUUGGAUUGGGGCAGGUUUCCCAUGCAAUGGUCUGAUUUCAGCUCUUUUUGUUUUUUGUUUUUGUUUCAAUGGCCGUUAAUUAGUUAAAUUGUCACUACCACCAGCUGGGCUGAAUGUGUACUGGUCGCAUCCCAACAUGACCAAUACAGCACUUAUGCAUUCAUACUGUGCAAUUUUUAAGCACCUUUUGAGAUGGAAGAACAGACGAGCAUUGGCAGCAAAUUCAGUUUGUAAAAAUUCUUGUAAUAUGUAAAAAUAUCUUUGUGUGUGUGGGGGGGGGGAUACUAUCUUCUGAAUUCUGUUGUCAUCUUGUGAAACGGCUUAUAGUGGGAGACUAUUGCAGAGCCCCUAAAAUGAAAUUGAAAAACAACAAGCUGGGAAUAAAUGUUUAUAUGGUCUCUUAGCUCCCUCUACUGAUGACUUUAUGUAACUGAAAUGUUUCCCUCAUUAAUUGACAGGUUUGUUGCUUGUAGAUGUGGCAGUUAAUUUUAAUAACUUUAUCUGACAUGAGAAUACACCUCUAACAGGCAUAAUACAGUAUUCAUAGCUACUCAGAGCUUAUGUUUCCAUGUUAUGUAUUGACUCUCACCUUUUCCAAGCAUUUUUGAAAAGGUUUUCAAAUGGCAAAUGAUUAACAAUUUAAAAAUCUUUUUUUUUUUAAUCAGUCGUAGAUUUUUAGUCGUGAACCAGUUUCACAGAGCUAUCGUGUGUUUUAUCGGUGAGGAAAGACGGCUAUGGCUUUGAACAAAAAUAGCAUCAGGAUUUGAGGACUUUGGACUCUUGGCACUGAUUUCAGCUUUUGCAACUACAUUUACUAGAGGUUUCAAAUUCCAGAAAUGCUGGGACAUCAUGCUGUAGUUUUGACAGCACACAUUUAGUACAUUAUGUUAACCAAGCCACUGUUAAUGACUCAUGUUUGUUCUUUAUCUAUCCAUGUUAUUUACAUCGGCUGUUUGUACUUUGCCAUGUUAUGUCUUACCAGUUUUCAAAUGAAAAGACUCAAAUUCUUCAUGUCAUUGUAUCAGUAGAAGGCUGAGCUAAAUCAAAGGCCUAUAAAAAGGUACUUGCUUCCCCUUGUGAGUUUUGCCCUUUCAUGGCUUUUCAACAUUCAGUUGUGGUCAAUGUAAUUUGGCUUUUUUGACAAGGAUUUAUUUUUUGAAUAUGGCUUUUUUGAGUAAUUCAAACUAUUAAAGUUAAAAUAGGUGAUUGCAUAAAGAUUUAUUCCUUUCAAGUCAGCAUUGAGUAGAUGUUCUUUUAGCCACAAUUACAGCUAUCUGCAGUGCACAUCUGGACACUGAAGUUUUAUCCUGUUCUUCUUUUCAACGUGUCAGAUUGCACAGAGAUUAUGAGUGAACAGCUCUUUUCAAGUCCAGCAACAAAUUCCUAAUUGGAUUGAGGACUGGACUCUGAAUGACCUCUCCAGAACAUUCACCUUGUUGUCUUUAUAUAUGUACUGGUCUCACUAAACGUUUGCGUGUUCAGCUAUCCAGUGCGUGUAAACAGCUGGCGAGGAGAACAACGAAAAGGAGGAAUGCCGACCCAUCUUCAUUUUCUCCUCUCCUUUUAUUCCACACACGUUGUGUAAAACAUGAAGCUGUAAAACUAGACAGAAAUAAAAACACAUUUUAGCUAA